RNAcentral lists this ribosomal RNA (324 nucleotides) under Triticum aestivum (bread wheat). RNAcentral's name for it is "partial small subunit ribosomal RNA". Lineage: Eukaryota; Viridiplantae; Streptophyta; Magnoliopsida; Poales; Poaceae. The record is from RNAcentral.
AUGGAUUGCAACCUCUGCAUCAUCUUCUGGAACGUGCGCGGGCUUAACUACCCGGCUAAGUGUAGCGCCAUCAGAUCCGUCAUUGCGAGUGUCCAUCCCACCGUAGUUUGCCUGCAGGAGAUGAAGCUCGCCAUCGUCACCCCUUUCCUCGUCUCUGACUCCCUCGGGCCAGAGUUCUCCGCCUUCUUCCACCUGUCGGCCGAGGGUACGUGCGGUGGCAUCAUUCUCGCGUGGCGCCCCUCGGAGAUCUCCCUGUCUAACCCAUACAUCAGAGUCAACUUUGUCGCUUCCUGUGCCACCUCCCCCGGCACCGACUCCCACUAG